This 1389-nucleotide ribosomal RNA is filed under the name metagenome. RNAcentral describes it as "bacterial SSU rRNA". It matches the Rfam family "Bacterial small subunit ribosomal RNA", at positions 151 to 1520 of the family's 1533-position model. The record is from RNAcentral.
GAGUAAUCAUAAUAAUCCCUUAUAAAAAAAAAGAUUAAUCGCUAUAAGAUGGGCCUGCGCAGGAUUAGGUAGUUGGUAGGGUAAAAGCCGACCAAGCCUAUGAUCCUUAGCUGGUCUGAGAGGAUGAUCAGCCACAAUGGGACUGAGAUACGGCCCAUCCCCUAUAAGGGGCAGCAGUGGGGAAUAUUGGACAAUGGGCGAAAGCCUGAUCCAGCAAUAUCGAGUGAGUGAAGAAGUCCAUAUGACUAUAAAACUCUUUCAUCAAGGAUGAUAAUGACAUUAGUUGAAUAAGAAGCCCCGGCCAACUCUGUGCCAGCAGCCGCGGUAAUACAGAGGGGGCGGGCGUUAUUCAGAAUGACUGGGCGUAAAGGGUACGUAGGCGGUCUAUUAAGUUGAAGGUAAAAGCCCAGAGCUCAACUCUGGAAAACCCUUCAAAACUGAUAUGACUGGAGUACGAGAGAGGAUAGUAGAAUUUCUAGUGUAGGGAUGGAAUAUGAAAAGAUUAGAAGGAAUAUCAAAGGCGAAGGCAACUAUCUGGAUCGAUACUGACGCUGAGGUACGAAAGUAUGGGGAGCAAACAGGAUUAGAGACCCUGGUAGUCCAUAGCUGUCAACGAUGAGUGUUAAAUGUUGGAUUUUUUCCAGUGUUACAGCUAACGCGUUAAACACUCCGCCUGGGGAAUACGGCCGCAAGGUUGAAACUCAAAGGAAUUGACGGGGGCCCGUACAAGCGGUGGAGCAUGUGGUUUAAUUCGAAAAUGCGCGCAAAACCUUACCAGCCCUUGAAAUAUAUAGUCCUCAGGAUAAUUUUUAGAAAUAGAUUUUAUCAUAAAUUAAGUCAUUAGACUUUUUUUUGGCUUUAUACAGGUGCUGCAUGGCUGUCGUCAGCUCGUGUCGUGAGAUGUUUGGUUAAGUCCUCUAACGAGCGCAACCCUCAUUUUUAGUUGUAUUGUAUACUCUAAAAAAACUGCUAGUGAAAACUAGAGGAAGGUGAGGAUGACGUCAAGUCCUCAUGGCCCUUAUGGGCUGGGCCACACACGUGCUACAAUGGUGAUUACAAAGGGUGGCAAUUACGCAAGUAGGAGCAAAUCCUAAAAGAUCAUCCCAGUUCAGAUUGUUCUCUGCAACACGAGAGCAUGAAGGUGGAAUCGCUAGUAAUCGUGGAUCAGCACGCCACGGUGAAUAUGUUCCCGGGCCUUGUACACACCGCCCGUCAAGCCUUGGGAAUCGGUCUUGCCUAAAAUUGGUCUGCUAACCUAUUCUUCUUUCAUAGUUUCUAUAUGCCAAGGUGUUAGAUCAAUGAUUGUAAGUUUGGGGGGGCUAUCAAUUACGGUGGAUUGGUAACUAAGGUUAAGUCGUAACAAGGUAAUGGUAGGGGAACCUGCUGUUG